GACCGCGUAGCUCAGUUGGAAGAGCAUUGCGCCAGUAUUCCAAAGGUCGUAGGUUCGAAUCCUACCGUGGCCG
This 73-nucleotide transfer RNA is filed under the name Paramuricea clavata. It matches the Rfam family "tRNA". Rfam says of the family: Transfer RNA (tRNA) molecules are approximately 80 nucleotides in length. Their secondary structure includes four short double-helical elements and three loops (D, anti-codon, and T loops). Lineage: Eukaryota; Metazoa; Cnidaria; Anthozoa; Malacalcyonacea; Plexauridae. The record is from Rfam by way of RNAcentral.